This is a long non-coding RNA of Chiloscyllium plagiosum (whitespotted bambooshark), 2052 nucleotides long. RefSeq lists it as uncharacterized. The record is from RefSeq and is a predicted model, not a curated record. NCBI's taxonomy places the organism in Eukaryota, Metazoa, Chordata, Chondrichthyes, Orectolobiformes, Hemiscylliidae.
AACUUCAUGGAGCUAAAGGGCUACUUUUAAACAGAGCAAAGUCAUUUCGUCAAAUAGGAAUUGUUUGAACCCAUCCAUCUCCAACUAUCCAGCCCAGUGACAGCAUCUGAAAUUCAAGCAGAUACCAGGUCCCAACUUCUUGUCUGGGGUAAAGUUGAGUUUUGUUUAGAUUCUCAUUUUUGUGUAAAUUGUAAAAGCAAAAUCUCCCCAGUAACAAGUGACCUUGCUUGGCCUUUGAUUUUCAUUGGUCAGAUUUGUUGCGCAUUGACCUUCAAAGUUUGUAUUUAAAUAUCGAGCUUCCUUGUUCACUGACAAAGUGAGUGUGACACCGAGAUCACAGAUACCAUCGGUGUGCAUUCAGUGUGAACUACACGGAGAAAUUCACCCCCUCCACGGAAACAGUGCAGGCCAAUAAAAUGGUUUCGCAUAUGUUGCUGGUAUUGAGUUUUCCUGCCAUCAACUACAUAAUGUCCACUAUGUCAUUGACCCUUGCAAAUUGCCCACAGUGACCGCAACAAACACAGUACUUGUGAUGGCUCCAAAGGCACUGUGAGGUAUGGAAUGGAUCCCCUCAAUGCCUGCAUGUAUGAGAGAAGACACAACUGGAGAAGAAAUAUUUAAGUUACUGUAUAAUUUAAUGGAAUUGGAAUUGCUUAAGUGGAGAACUGAGUUGCUGUUUACAGGGAUGGUGCUACCAUUAUAACACGCAAUACAAGAGGAGUUGUUGCAAAAAUCAGCAUCCUAAACCCAUAGGUAAUCGUAAUUCAUUCUAUGUUGCAUGUCUAUCUGUUUCUUCAAAAUAAUGGAAUUCAACUUAAAUGCUGGCCGAGAUUUAGAGUACUAAAGGUGGAGGUAAACAUUUUCAGGGACAACUAACAGCCUGCCUCCACUUGUGAGAAAAUGUGCCAGAUCAAUAGCAAGAGACAAUUGAGAAACAAAACCAUAAGGAGAGUCAUGGAGUAUUUGGAUUUAUGUGGUUCAAUGCUGGAUGACAGCAAUAUGUUGUGUUGUUAUCCAACAAAACAAUACAGCUUGCAAAAGUAAAGCAACAUCUCAGAAGAAAACAUUUCAAAAAUAAAGAUAAGUCACAAAAUUUAUUUGGUUAUAAUAAAGAACAGUACAGUCGUUAGAAAUAACAAAUGAUGAAGAUAACAUCAGUUCCUGGAAGUACUCUGAAAGCAUCUUUCUUAAUGUCCCAUUUGCUAAUAACAAUGGCUAAAAGCAAGAAAGUCUGUACUGUCAGAGAGAAGCUGAUCAUUCUAAUGGAUGAAGAAAUGUGUUAAGUGAUGGUAAGUGAAGACACUGCACAAAAACUGAAGGCUCUAUCAUUUCUAAUGCCACAGUCAACAAAAGGAUUGAUGAACUUUCAGGGGAGUUGUAAAAUAUCAAAUGACAGAAUGGCUUUGAAAUUCUAAUUUACAAUUUAAUGUGCUGAGACAACUCAUGGCAACUGCUAGCUUCUGCAUUAUUGCAAAGUCUUCAGAGUGCUGUGAACAAGAAGUAUUUUUAGAGUCACAUUCAGCAAUGCAUCUGAUCUUAGGGCGGAUGAUGCUUGGAUGAAAGAACUACUGUCUGUUCUUUCCAUGCACAACCCUGCAUUGGCAGAAAAAAAUUCUGAUCAGUUACGGUUAACAAAUCUGUAAGGGUGCAAUUGAAUGGUACUUACAGUAAGUGACAUGAUUUAGAAAGAAAACUGAGAUUUUGAAACUAGACCAAGCAAUCAAGCUUCAGAAACGUUUCUACUAUGAACUGAACUUCUAGAUUCACACACAACAAUGGUUGAUGGUGUGAAUGAAAAGCUUAUUGCUCAUCUUCCAACCUUGGUAGAGUACUUCAAUCUCUAUUUUUAAAUGUAAAUACAGAUUUGUCCUGUUCGACCAUAAAACCAUAAGAAAUAGGAACAGGAAUAGGCCGCUUGCCUCAUUCAGCCUGUUCCAACAUUCAAUAGGAUCAUGGAUGAUCCAACACAUCUGGUUUCUGCUUUCCUGCCCUUUCCCCAUAACUCUUGACCCCCUCAACAAAUCAAGAAUCUAUCUCAGCCUUAAAUAUACA